Non-coding RNA from Trichonephila inaurata madagascariensis, 71 nucleotides. The record is from the annotation of a GenBank genome assembly. NCBI's taxonomy places the organism in Eukaryota, Metazoa, Arthropoda, Arachnida, Araneae, Nephilidae.
AGGGAUAUAGCUUAGUGAUACAGCAUUCACUGCAGAUCGAGAGGUCCUCGGUUCAAAUCCGAGUUUCCUCU